Sorghum bicolor (sorghum) is the source of this 583-nucleotide long non-coding RNA. RefSeq lists it as uncharacterized. The transcript is spliced from 3 exons. NCBI's taxonomy places the organism in Eukaryota, Viridiplantae, Streptophyta, Magnoliopsida, Poales, Poaceae. The record is from RefSeq and is a predicted model, not a curated record.
CUAACAAUAUAUAUAUGCCGGCGUAGCCCUAAACGCGCUGAUUCUGAAAGUACAAUCGUUUUUCCAAGCCGCCACUUUCAUCGUCCUAGAUCUAAAGCCGAAGUUUCGACAUCUAGAGCUCCGACGAACUUCCGGCGAGGUUCGGCGAGCUUUUCCGGUCACGUUUCUCAUCUCCGGUGAAUUCCGCUUCCACCACGAGGAUAUCUCCGGCCACUCCUUGCGCGUCCUGAUCCUGUCCCCCCGUGGCCUCAUGCCGCGCUAGUCCUAGAAGCUCGCGCCCCUGCUUGUUUGUGCAGAGCAGCAGGCCGAGAUGCUACUCGUGAUAAGCAAGGGGAGCAGCCCUAGCUGCUGGUCCUGCUAGCCACCUCCACAUGGCGUGCUGCGGCGCCGGCCGGCCAGCAAGCUCUACGGCCGAGAUCCCUCCCUCCUGUGCGUGGUGCAGCAGCAGCCUGCAGUGGCCAUGGAGGUCACGUCCAGAUGCACAACGUGGAGCAAGACGAGAACCGUUUGUGGGCGUUGAAGAUCAGAAGGUGAUGACCGAAAGCUGAAGGUGUGAGAAUUGAGCAAAUAUUUAAGGCAAGUA